This 253-nucleotide ribosomal RNA is filed under the name uncultured bacterium. RNAcentral describes it as "partial 16S ribosomal RNA". It matches the Rfam family "Bacterial small subunit ribosomal RNA", at positions 524 to 776 of the family's 1533-position model. The record is from RNAcentral.
UACGAAGGGGGCUAGCGUUGUUCGGAAUCACUGGGCGUAAAGGGCGCGUAGGCGGCCGUUCAAGUCGGGGGUGAAAGCCUGUGGCUCAACCACAGAAUGGCCUUCGAUACUGGACGGCUCGAGACCGGAAGAGGUCAGUGGAACUGCGAGUGUAGAGGUGAAAUUCGUAGAUAUUGGGAGGAACACCAGUGGCGAAGGCGGCUCACUGGACUGGUACUGACGCUGAGGCGCGAAAGCGUGGGGAGCAAACAGG